AGUGGGGAAUAUUGGGCAAUGGACGCAAGUCUGACCCAGCAACGCCGCGUGAAGGAAGAAGGCUUUCGGGUUGUAAACUUCUUUUAAGGGGGAAGAGAAGAAGACGGUACCCCUUGAAUAAGCCACGGCUAACUACGUGCC
This 141-nucleotide ribosomal RNA is filed under the name uncultured bacterium. Its description in RNAcentral is "partial 16S rRNA". It matches the Rfam family "Bacterial small subunit ribosomal RNA", at positions 353 to 509 of the family's 1533-position model. The record is from RNAcentral.